UACGGAGGUCCCAAGCGUUGUUCGGAUUUACUGGGCGUAAAGGGCGCGUAGGCGGCAAUUCAAGUCAUCUGUGAAAUCUCCGGGCUUAACUCGGAACGGUCAGAUGAUACUGCUUUGCUAGAGUGCGGAAGGGACAAUCGGAAUUCUCGGUGUAGCGGUGAAAUGCGUAGAUAUCGAGAGGAACACCAGAGGUGAAGGCGGGUUGCUGGGCCGACACUGACGCUGAAGCGCGAAAGCCAGGGGAGCAAACGGG
RNAcentral lists this ribosomal RNA (253 nucleotides) under uncultured bacterium. RNAcentral's name for it is "partial 16S ribosomal RNA". It matches the Rfam family "Bacterial small subunit ribosomal RNA", at positions 524 to 776 of the family's 1533-position model. The record is from RNAcentral.